RNAcentral lists this long non-coding RNA (611 nucleotides) under Olea europaea subsp. europaea. Lineage: Eukaryota; Viridiplantae; Streptophyta; Magnoliopsida; Lamiales; Oleaceae. The record is from RNAcentral.
GAAAACCUGAGGGCGGAAAGAGACAUCAGUAUAGUUGGUAAACUCGUGAAUAGAGGAAAUGACUGAUCACCACAACAGAUGAGGUGGUGGUCCUCGUCCACUGAGGCUAAGAGGCCGAGUUUCACCCUCCAACUUGGUAAACCAGCAAAAGCAACAGUAGAGGCAGCGACAAGCCUAUCCUGUUCCAGAUCAAAGCUAUGAUGCCAUCAUGCCAUGAAACUAAAAGCCCUUCCACCUUCAAUUGAUGAUGAGGGGGGUCCUAGUCGAAAAGGUACCAAGGGUUGGAGCAUCUCGAACCAACAUACUAUGAAGCUAGAAAUAACAGGCUUCAGUCCCUCGGGGCAUAGGUCAGUGGUGCAAAGUAUAGGAGUGAGAUUAUUUCAUACCUUGUUGGCAGUCACAGUGUGGGGGAUCGAUUCCUAAAACAUGAAAUUGGACUUCUUGUAGACGCAUUGUACAAACAACUCUUGUUUCCUAACUUGUUGGGGCACAUUCCGUGAUUUAUCUCCCUCACAAAAAUCUAAGGGCGGGACAGUAAUGACACUCAAGGUUGGGGUUCAACUUUUUUUUUAUUUUUAUUAUUUUGAAAUAGCAGGCCUUACCCAAUCAAC